CCCACUUGAGGGAAAUUUUCUACUAUCCUACAAAACCCUGCGCUUGGAGGCCCAACACGAGUCUACAAGAAGAAGGUUGUGUGGUAGACAUCACACAUUCUGCAACAUAGCGUGCAAUAUCUUGUUUCAUAUUUGGCCACCAGAAUCUUUGACAUAUGUCUGCUAGUUCUCGAGCUUGCGUUGGUUUUUCCCUUGAAUAGGAAAGGGUGAUGCAGCAAAGUAGCGACAAGUAUUUCCUUCAGUUUGAGAACCAAGGUA
RNAcentral lists this long non-coding RNA (258 nucleotides) under Hordeum vulgare. RNAcentral's name for it is "long non-coding RNA (HVUL_LNC016125)". Lineage: Eukaryota; Viridiplantae; Streptophyta; Magnoliopsida; Poales; Poaceae. The record is from RNAcentral.